Macadamia integrifolia is the source of this 2434-nucleotide RNA transcript. It is a transcript of the gene named probable protein phosphatase 2C 27, with no coding region annotated. The transcript is spliced from 5 exons. The record is from RefSeq and is a predicted model, not a curated record. NCBI's taxonomy places the organism in Eukaryota, Viridiplantae, Streptophyta, Magnoliopsida, Proteales, Proteaceae.
UUUUCAUUCUUCAAAGCAUUGGUUUCUGCGUCUCUCCUUCUCUCUCUCUGUUUCUCUAUCUAUCAUUUUAUCUAUAUCUUUCUCCACUUUUGUCUUCCAGAGAUCUUUCUAGGGUUUCUUCUUCGACGUCUGACAAUAGGAUGCGGGCAAGUUCAUAUUAUCUCUGUCGCAGAUCCCUUUGAAUCUGGUGUUUGAAGGCUGUCGUCUUCUGCUACGGCUGCAAUUUUAGAAGAUCUUUGUUUUGCGUGAUUUUGGUGAAUUUUCAGGUUUUUCUCUCUCUCUUAAGUUACAGGGUUUGCUUGGUUAUUUUGAAUUGUGUACGUUGGAUCCGUUUAAUAUUUGAUUGAUUAAUUCAUUGUUGGAAUUCGUGAUCUCUGAAUUUUGGGUAUUAGAGGGGGAAUUGGUGUGAUGAGCAUAUAAAUGUUUCUUCGUGAAGUUAAGAACUUUUUCUUUGGAGAUUACUUGAUCUGGUGGAAUGGAAGGAUAUGGUGUUUAUGGCAUUUGUACCUGUAACCACCUCCCUUCUGGGUUGAACGAUUCAAUGUUGGGAUCUCCAGGAUUGGAUGCUUAUUUGUUUAUGUUUUAUGAACGAGAUUUUCCACGGCUAUUCGAUAUCAUAAGUUAAUUGAAUUUCAAGGAAUUAAGGUUGAAGUGCUUAGGCUUGUUUUGGAAGCAAUUCUUCUCUCCAGUCUUAACGGCGGUGAAGUUCGGUGAUUGAGGCCUUUGUGGUUGGGGGAAUAUAAAAUAUAACAGUUGUUUAAGAUUACAAGGUUCAACAAAGGUCGUCGGGUUUGGAGUUUGCUUGAAGGAAGUGAAUGUUUUGGGAAGAAACAUGGCUGCAGGGCCUGAUCUUUCGCCCCCAUUUACCGUAUUAGAAGGAGGGUACAGUAAUGACAAUGCUUCUUCCAUGGAAGAUGAGAAUUCCGAGAUUUCAGACAGCUUGAAACAAAUGAAGACUGGGAAACCCCCACGCCAUCUCUCAGUUAUGCGGCAUUGUAUUAGCUCUGCUCGGUUGGCCACAUCUGAAUUGGAGCUCAAUACAGGUGUUGUUGGACUAAAGUCACCAACAGAAGGAAAAUCUGGGUUUUUACCCGUAUUUCGUUCGGGAAGCUGUUCUGAGAUUGGACCAAAACAGUACAUGGAGGAUGAACAUAUCUGUAUAGAUAAUCUUGUUGAAUAUCUUGGUGCGAACAUAAACCUCCCUUCUCCAGGAGGUUUCUACGGGGUGUUCGAUGGGCAUGGUGGUUCAGAUGCAGCAUCAUUCAUCCAAAAAAACAUUCUUAAAUUUAUAAUUGAAGACUCCCACUUCCCCUCUUGCAUAGAGAUGGCCAUUAAGAGUGCUUUUUUGAAAGCUGAUCAUGCUUUUGCUGAUGCCUCUACUCUUGACAGCUCCUCUGGAACCACAGCUCUAACUGCUCUUAUUUUUGGAAGGAACUUGCUAAUUGCCAAUGCUGGGGAUUGCCGAGCUGUGUUGGGUAAACGUGGAAGAGCAAUUGAGCUCUCCAAAGAUCACAAACCAAAUUGUACAUCUGAAAGACUAAGAAUUGAGAAACUGGGUGGUGUUGUGUAUGAUGGGUAUCUUAAUGGCCAAUUGUCAGUGGCACGAGCCCUCGGCGACUGGCACAUGAAGGGCUCCAAGGGGUCAGCAUGCCCCUUAAGUGCAGAGCCAGAGUUGCAGGAGACCAUCCUGAGUGAGGAAGACGAGUUCCUCAUAAUGGGCUGUGAUGGGCUUUGGGAUGUGAUGAGCAGCCAGUGUGCAGUAACGAUAGCAAGAAAGGAGUUGAUGCUCCAUAAUGAUCCUGUGAGAUGCUCAAGGGAGCUGGUGAGGGAGGCACUAAAGCGCCAGACGUGUGAUAAUCUGACGGUGCUUGUGAUCUGUUUCUCUCCAGAGCCACCACCUCGGAUAGAGAUCCCUAAAUCGCGGGUGCGGCGGAGUAUAUCGGCUGAAGGGCUGAAUUUUCUGAAGGGUGUUUUGGAUAGUAACGAGUGACGAAAGAGAGCAAUGCUUGGCGGCCUGUAUAAAAUUUUAAAGAAGGGGAAUGGAAGAGGAUUUGCAGUUCCGCCACUGGUGGUGGAGUUGGGUCGACAAAUAUGGAAAAUUUUCAAGGCUGCUAUGCUCCUUGGCCCGGGCUGUAAGUUUGUUUAUGUUUCUAUCCUCUGCGCCUCAAUGCAAGCUAGAAGAGCUGGUGUCUGAUAUGUCAUUGGAUUCUAUACGCUGUUGACAGAUUGGUAGUGUUGUACCAUGUUCUUACAAAAUUAAUAUUCCAUCUUUGAAAGUCUUCAAAUAAUAAUACUAUUCUCAAAUCUGUAUCUUACCCUUCCCUUUUUUUUCUUGUUUAUUUUUUCCUGGUGGUAAAGGCACGCUGUUUGCCUCAUCCUUGUAAGUUAAAUCAGAAAUGCUUCUUUAAUUUUUUAUGGAUGGAGCAGUUUUCCA